Molecule: ribosomal RNA, 302 nt
Filed under: uncultured bacterium
Lineage: Bacteria
Description: partial 16S ribosomal RNA
Rfam family: Bacterial small subunit ribosomal RNA
Source: RNAcentral
GCAGCCGCCGCGGGAUACGUAGGUCCCGAGCGUUGUCCGGAUUUAUUGGGCGUAAAGCGAGCGCAGGCGGUUGGAUAAGUCUGAAGUUAAAGGCUGUGGCUUAACCAUAGUACGCUUUGGAAACUGUUUAACUUGAGUGCAAGAGGGGAGAGCGGAAUUCCAUGUGUAGCGGUGAAAUGCGUAGAUAUAUGGAGGAACACCGGUGGCGAAAGCGGCUCUCUGGCUUGUAACUGACGCUGAGGCUCGAAAGCGUGGGGAGCAAACAGGAUUAGAUACCCCAGUAGUCCCUGUCUCUUAUACAC